This 693-nucleotide ribosomal RNA is filed under the name uncultured Micrococcineae bacterium. RNAcentral describes it as "bacterial SSU rRNA". It matches the Rfam family "Bacterial small subunit ribosomal RNA", at positions 97 to 803 of the family's 1533-position model. The record is from RNAcentral. Lineage: Bacteria; Bacillati; Actinomycetota; Actinomycetes; Micrococcales.
GGCGAACGGGUGAGGAACACGUGAAGAAUCUGCCCUCCACUUUGGGAUAACACCGGGAAACCGGUGCUAAUACCGAAUAUUGAAACAUAAGUGGCAUCACUGAGUUUUGAAAGAAUUUCGGUGGAGGAUGACUUCGCGGCCUAUCAGCUAGUUGGUGAGGUAAUGGCUCACCAAGGCAACGACGGGUAGCCGGCCUGAGAGGGCGACCGGCCACACUGGGACUGAGACACGGCCCAGACUCCUACGGGAGGCAGCAGUGGGGAAUAUUGGGCAAUGGAGGAAACUCUGACCCAGCGACGCCGCGUGCGGGAUGAAGGCCUUCGGGUUGUAAACCGCUUUCAGUAGGGAAGAAGCGAAAGUGACGGUACCUACAAAAGAAGCACCGGCUAACUAUGUGCCAGCAGCCGCGGUAAUACAUAGGGUGCAAGCGUUGUCCGGAAUUAUUGGGCGUAAAGAGCUCGUAGGUCGUUUGUUACGUCGGAUGUGAAAACCUGAGGCUCAACCUCAGGCCUGCAUUCGAUACGGGCAAACUAGAGUUUGGUAGGGGAGACUGGAAUUCCUGGUGUAGCGGUGGAAUGCGCAGAUAUCAGGAGGAACACCAAUGGCGAAGGCAGGUCUCUGGGCCAAUACUGACACUGAGGAGCGAAAGUCUGGGGAGCGAACAGGAUUAGAUACCCUGGUAGUCCAGACCGU